GACGAACGCUGGCGGCGUGCCUAAUACAUGCAAGUUGAGCGCUGAAGGUUGGUACCUGUACCAACUGGAUGAGCAGCGAACGGGUGAGUAACGCGUGGGGAAUCUGCCUUUGAGCGGGGGACAACAUUUGGAAACGAAUGCUAAUACCGCAUAAAAACUUUAAACACAAGUUUUAAGUUUGAAAGAUGCAAUUGCAUCACUCAAAGAUGAUCCCGCGCUGUAUUAGCUAGUUGGUGAGGUAAAGGCUCACCAAGGCGAUGAUACAUAGCCGACCUGAGAGGGUGAUCGGCCACAUUGGGACUGAGACACGGCCCAAACUCCUACGGGAGGCAGCAGUAGGGAAUCUUCGGCAAUGGACGAAAGUCUGACCGAGCAACGCCGCGUGAGUGAAGAAGGUUUUCGGAUCGUAAAACUCUGUUGGUAGAGAAGAACGUUGGUGAGAGUGGAAAGCUCAUCAAGUGACGGUAACUACCCAGAAAGGGACGGCUAACUACGUG
RNAcentral lists this ribosomal RNA (497 nucleotides) under uncultured bacterium. Its description in RNAcentral is "partial 16S ribosomal RNA". It matches the Rfam family "Bacterial small subunit ribosomal RNA", at positions 28 to 507 of the family's 1533-position model. The record is from RNAcentral.